CUUCAGUCGAGUAUGAGGUGGUAUCUUCCAUAUGACAUAUGAGUUUAGUCUAUUUAAGUUUUCAAUUCCAACCAAUAUGUUUUCUUAAGUUGUUAUUUAUUUUGAGCUAAUGGAGCAAACCAUAUAUGGAUACUCUACUUUAGAUGGUUUUCAACUAAUGCAUUGAUUAGAUGGCAUUUAUCAUCGCGUUCUACGUCACUAGAGAUCUGAAAAUGAACGAAUACUCUUAAGUAAUUAUAUACGCCAUCAUAUUCUGCUGCAGCUUCCUCAUCUCCGAUGUUCUCCAGGAGAUAAAGUGGAACAGCCGCCGCCUGAAGUCACUCCUCACCAUCGGAGCAAUACUCUGGGUGAUCGCCGGAGCCGCCGUCUUCGUACUCCCGAGCCAGAUGCACAACCUUAUAUACCCUCUCGCCGUGGUCAUCGGAGCUGCUAACACUCUUGUCAUGCUGACCACAAUUGGGCUAGAGAGCGCGCUGGUGGGAGACGACCUGAACGGCUGCACCUUCGUCUACGGCUCGCUGAGCUUCUUGGACAAGAUUCAUCUGGAAUCGCCCUGUUCGUCCUCGAAUCCUACGAAGCUGCGGCGAGACGACGCAUUGUACACGAUGAGAACAGGUUCGUUACAGGUCUGAUCCCCUCGUGCUUCGCCGUCUUCGUGCUGCUAGUCCCGCUGCUGCUGCCGCCGCUGCACUGGAAGCUCCACUCCUCGUCUGAAGCAUAGCACGGUGUGCUUUUCUUAUAGGAAAAAUCUUACUCUUAGAACCUCUUCAGUUCGGUCUGAAGAAGGUAAGCUGUCAGCUUACAGCGUGAUAGUGUCUAGUAGCCUCAGAAUUCUGUCCCGAAUCUAAAAGCAUUGUAGGCUGGGUAUAGACAUGUUUCUUGGACAAGCUUUUUUUUAUUAUUUAAAAUCAGCACCAGACAUUGCUAUGUGCUUUCUGCAGUUAUAUAUGCAGGAAGUAUUAUUAUAUAAAAACAUGGUGGAAGUAUGAAGAAAAAAAAAAGAUGGACUUGAAUUGCUCCACCAAAAAUUCCUGAAUAUGAAUAAGAUUACAUAAAUAUGCUUACAA
Non-coding RNA from Oryza sativa Japonica Group (Japanese rice), 1067 nucleotides. Lineage: Eukaryota; Viridiplantae; Streptophyta; Magnoliopsida; Poales; Poaceae. The record is from RefSeq and is a predicted model, not a curated record.